AGAAUCACGGGCAGAGUCACAGUUCACCUGCACAUCUCCACCUGAGGUUGGACUCCUACCACCUGGCAGAUCCCACUACCCCAGCAGAGGGAAAAGAGCACAGUGCAUGUUUGGAAGACCCAAGGUAGAGACUGAACUGAACGAGGUAAGCUGCAGCCUGGUGGCGAGACGUGCAGCGAGGCCCAGCCGAGCCAGAAAAAGCAAACAUCGGAAAGAAACAAGAGGCCACCACAGAACACGACAGCCUCUUGCGAAGAUCAUUUGCCAGUUUUCCCAACACCAUUUGUUGAAUAAUCUACCCCUUAUUUACUGAUCUGAAAUGCCAACUUCAUCAUGAGACACAUUCUCAUGUGGUCGUGGAUCCAUCACUGAGCUCCAGACAAAGCUCCACUGGAAAUGGGAUAUGACUUUCCAGUUGAUACCAUGAAGAAAUAUCAGCUCACUGGUCACAAUCCAGUGACCAGUCCAGUCCCCUGGUCACAGUCCAGUGGUUUGAACGAGCUGUCUUUUGAGGAGUAGGAGAUUCGGGCAGAAGAUGGGAGAAGACAGAAGUCACUUCAAGCCCAUUUUAAUGAGUCCAAAGAGGUGACAGAGAAACCAGGGAAGGGCGGAGAAAAGGAGGAAAUGGAAGAAGAGAAGGAGAAGGUGGAAAGCAGGUGGGUGAGGCUUCUUCAAAAAGAAGAGAGGAAAACGAGGAAGGCUGCCCCAACAAAGAGGAAAACAACACAGAUUUGCCGAAAGUAUUCCUCUCAGAGCUGCUAAUCUUGUCUGCACUGGACCGGGACCAUAUCCUGAAUCCCUUUGCAUCUCUAGCAUGAACCACGGACACUGGGCCGCACUGGCCCUCAAGAACAGUUUGUUGAGCCACAGGUAAAGGAAAUCAUCAGCUUUCUUAGGGGUGGUGAUCUGAAGAGUGGGAGCAAGGAAGGGACGACUGGGCUGAAGUGAAGACAGAGGACCCGGCUCUCGCUGUGAUCCCUGUGUUUCCUGGACGUGAAUGGCAAGGUGUUUGGGUGCUAAUUUCUUGCCCCCUAUGCUCCCCGUAAGCUGGCUCCCCGUGUGACUGCAGGGAACACCUUGGCAAAGAGCCUUCUUCAAAGUGUCUCAGCAUGAUGGGGAGCGGGCAUCGCUGCCAGUCACGGAGGACAUGUGUUUCCGGAACCACUGAGUUCCAACCAGUAGCCUCGCCGAGUUCUGGCAAUCUGCGUGUGAACUGUGCCCUACUGCAAAGUGCACCCAGAUUGGGGGCGGGGGCGGUCACCCCCUCCUUUGAAACUGCUGUUCCUCUCCAUUUGCUGCUGCAGAUGCCAACACAAUCCUUGUUGCAUUAACUUGGCUUGGAGAGUGAGGAAAUGGCAGCAGCAUUAAUUAAAAAUAAUGUGCCACCCAGGAGAUAGCUUGAGCUCACUUCCUCUCUUAGUAUUCCUCUCGAUUCCUUUCCUUCCAGCUUGCGGCUAACGCGCUAUAGGUGCCAGGGAGGGGAACCCGCGAUGUUCAGUAGAAAGAUGACAGAAGAGUGAGAGAUUAGAGAGAGGGGCUCCAAAUGUGAUGAAAAUGUUCAAUCUUAGAGGUAUCUGUAAGGCAGAUUUUUGAAGGCACUAAAAAGAAUAGUAAAAAAAUCAGGGGGAAAGAGUUGGAUUCCUGAAGUUAGGGGGACAAGGGAAGGAUUGGCAGAAAGUGGUAUAAGUGGAUACUUUUGAAAAACAAUAAAGAGAAGAAAUACCAUUCUACAAGAAAAAGGACCAGGUCUCUGUAGAAGUGACUGAGUCAAUGGUUGGGGCAGGAAAUGUAUAACUUUGUAAGAAGUUCUUAUAGGGCUGAAAAGUAAAGCAGUUUGUUCAAAAACAAACAACCUAAAACCCCAAUGGCGGUGUGUUUGCCAAAUGGACACAAGAACCAACUGAAAGAGCUCGUGACGGGCAAAGCUGGGGCAACUUGAACAAGAAAAUGAAUGAUAUAGUGUCGGAUUAUAGCCCAAAGUAUAAGUAUCCAUGAGUCCAUACUGAUGUAAAUAAAUGAUUGAAUAUAUACGUAAGUGGAAGAGAAAAGACAAGUCUCUUGUGCAGAAGAAUUCCGAAUAAUUGAGGUUUGUGCACCCGCUUCAUGGAGGUGGAGAGUAAAUUUCCACUCCUUACAUGUGACCUGCGCUUGGUGACUUCCUUCCAAAGAGUACGGUAUGCAUAACUUUAUAGUGGAGAAAUCUGACAAAACACUGCCUCCGCAGCGGUUAUCGAGGUCAACGUCAUUAUGGUUAAAUCACAUUAAUAGCUUGUAUCCUUGAUAUGAUGAGAAUGAUACUUCACCUCGGUGACCUCCCUGCCUCAAACCCAUAACUCCAGUCUACCCAUGAGAAAUACCAUCAGAGAAACCCAAGUGGAAGGACAUUCUACAGAAUACCUGACCCAUACUCCCCCAAUCUGUCAAAGUCAUCAAGAACAAGAAAUGUCUGAGAAAGUGUCACAGACCAGAGGGGCCUAAGGAGACGUGAUGGCUAAAUGUAACGUGAUAUCCUAGAUGGGGUCCUGGAACAGAAAAAAGGACAUUAGGGAAAAAACUAAAGAUAUCUCAAUAGAGGUUGGACCUCUGUUAACGAUAAAGUAUUAGUAUCGCUGCUUGGAACCAUCAGCGUCCACUACAGUGUGAAAGGGAGUCCAGACUGAAAAGAAAAACCCUUACAAUUGCCAUCCCAGCCCAGAAGCUUCACAAUCACCUUCACAGCCAUGCUUACGUUGUAAAAAAUUAUGGCUGUUGCAAGCUGUGGUUUUUCAAUUUAAUGCUGUUCUAAACGCCUGUACUUUCAGGUAGUCUCCUUUGGAAGUGAAAGCAAUAUUUUCAGCAUCCCAAUGUGUUUGUUCUAGGCUUGUUGACAGAGUAGGAUGACUGAGCCGUAGAAGGAAAGAAGCAAAUUUGGGGAAGGAUCCGUGGAGUUGACAUAUGCAUUAUUCAAAAUUAAACAAUCCUCGUAAACCCAUGUGUCCCCCCGCUGCCCCCUACAAAGUGUGUUAUUUCUUUUCCUGAAUAACAUUUUCCUCUUAAUGCUGAAUUAAUAAAGUUAUUUUCAUU
This is a long non-coding RNA of Globicephala melas (long-finned pilot whale), 3063 nucleotides long. RefSeq lists it as uncharacterized. The record is from RefSeq and is a predicted model, not a curated record. Lineage: Eukaryota; Metazoa; Chordata; Mammalia; Artiodactyla; Delphinidae.